RNAcentral lists this ribosomal RNA (453 nucleotides) under uncultured bacterium. RNAcentral's name for it is "bacterial SSU rRNA". It matches the Rfam family "Bacterial small subunit ribosomal RNA", at positions 340 to 786 of the family's 1533-position model. The record is from RNAcentral.
UACGGGAGGCGGCAGUGGGGAAUAUUGCACAAUGGGCGCAAGCCUGAUGCAGCCAUGCCGCGUGUAUGAAGAAGGCCUUCGGGUUGUAAAGUACUUUCAGUCGUGAGGAAGGUGUUAAGGUUAAUAACCUUAGCAAUUGACGUUAGCGACAGAAGAAGCACCGGCUAACUCCGUGCCAGCAGCCGCGGUAAUACGGAGGGUGCGAGCGUUAAUCGGAAUUACUGGGCGUAAAGGGCACGCAGGCGGUUAAUUAAGUUGGAUGUGAAAUCCCCGGGCUUAACCUGGGAAUGGCAUUCAAGACUGGUUAGCUAGAGUCUUGUAGAGGGGGUAGAAUUCCAUGUGUAGCGGUGAAAUGCGUAGAGAUGUGGAGGAAUACCGGUGGCGAAGGCGGCCCCUGGACAAAGACUGACGCUCAUGUGCGAAAGCGUGGGGAGCAAACAGGGAUUAGAUACC